Molecule: long non-coding RNA, 567 nt
Organism: Vitis riparia (riverbank grape)
Lineage: Eukaryota; Viridiplantae; Streptophyta; Magnoliopsida; Vitales; Vitaceae
Exons: 2
Source: RefSeq, a predicted model, not a curated record
GAGGUUGUUUCAAUUCAAUGACCCCAAUGAGUGGAAUCACAUUGAGAUUUCUUUUGAAGCAGCCCACAGAUUCAACUCAAGUGCAUCCAAUGUGGUGAAGAAGUGUGGCGUAUGUCUUAUAUAUGCAGAAGAUCUUGAAGGAAUCCAUCCACAAAAUAGAAAACAGCUUAAGAGUAGGGGAUGUAAUGUAGUUGAGAGAAGCAGUGACAGAGCAGGACUCAAUCGAAGUGGAAUGGACUCUAGUUCUAGUGGCAGCAGUGAUGGACCCACCAAUGAUCCCACGCUCAAGCUCAAGCGCAAACGUCCUCAAGAAUGACUACCAUCAUCCAGAGGCCAGAAUCAGAAUUUCCAUGGAGGGAGAUCAUUUUCUUGCUUUCUGCAGAGCAACUCCUUUGCAAAUGCAGCGAUUCCAGGAGCUUGGAAUCUAGUUGGUUUCUUUUAUGUGAUAAAUUGGGUAGAAACUUUUUAAAACUUUUAUACAAUGCAUAUAUCAUUAAACUAUUUGUCACCAUUUUUCUGAGUAUAUGAUUCGAACCCUGCUGGUAUUGAUUUUAAUGCCUUUGAUAA